Molecule: long non-coding RNA, 473 nt
Organism: Zingiber officinale
Lineage: Eukaryota; Viridiplantae; Streptophyta; Magnoliopsida; Zingiberales; Zingiberaceae
Exons: 3
Source: RefSeq, a predicted model, not a curated record
UUAUGCAUGCUUUAGUCCGCACACACACUCACUCAAUGCAUAUAAGAAGAGCGUCCUACUCCCAUCACUGCAAUCUGUUGUGUCACGAGGCUCAUUCCCUGCAUGGAUAGCUCUAAAAGAAAGCCACAGCCAGCUCCUCCACCAGGCUAUCCGACUGAAAAUACACCAGCAGCUAAGAAGUCAUGCUUCCCUCGCACCAAGACCAAAGGAGAAAGAGGCUUCAUUGAAGGAUGUCUUGUAGCACUUUGCUGUUGUUGGAUAUGCGAAACUUGCUGCCUGUGAACGUGCAUUAGCAUUUGAAUGGAUUCGCUGUUACGUACUAGUAAAGCUUGUCUGCUGUAAAUUAAAUUGCUCAAUGCACAAGGAUCAGUUAAGUUUUGUGGAGGUUGCCUAUCAGUAAAAUGUUGUAUAUGCUUCUUCAAAAACAUAAAUAAAAUAAUAUUUUUCCAUGAUGGUUGGAUUUUAAGUUCAAA